UUCUUGCCUCUCCCCGCGUUAAGGAUUGAAGCGGCAUCCUCCCGAUCCUUCGGGAGAUACAGCGGAAAGCCUGACCCCCG
RNAcentral lists this unclassified non-coding RNA (80 nucleotides) under Flavobacterium fontis. Its description in RNAcentral is "Flavo-1 RNA". It matches the Rfam family "Flavo-1 RNA". Lineage: Bacteria; Pseudomonadati; Bacteroidota; Flavobacteriia; Flavobacteriales; Flavobacteriaceae. The record is from Rfam by way of RNAcentral.